Molecule: small nucleolar RNA, 86 nt
Organism: Diospyros lotus (date-plum)
Lineage: Eukaryota; Viridiplantae; Streptophyta; Magnoliopsida; Ericales; Ebenaceae
Product: small nucleolar RNA R38
Exons: 1
Source: RefSeq, a predicted model, not a curated record
GUUUGUGACUGAUGAGAAAACAAAAAUAUUACAGUUAUCCCUGUCUGACACGUUGUGUGCUGACUUUUUUGUGAUCUGACACAAAC